UACGUAGGUGGCAAGCGUUGUCCGGAAUUACUGGGUGUAAAGGGAGCGCAGGCGGGAAGCCAAGUCAGCUGUGAAAACUACGGGCUUAACUUGUAGACUGCAGUUGAAACUGGUUUUCAUGAGUGAAGUAGAGGUUGGCGGAAUUCCGAGUGUAGCGGUGGAAUGCGUAGAUAUUCGGAGGAACACCGGUGGCGAAGGCGGCCUGCUGGAUGACAACUGACGGUGAGGCGCGAAAGCGUGGGGAGCAAACAGG
This 253-nucleotide ribosomal RNA is filed under the name uncultured bacterium. Its description in RNAcentral is "partial 16S ribosomal RNA". It matches the Rfam family "Bacterial small subunit ribosomal RNA", at positions 524 to 776 of the family's 1533-position model. The record is from RNAcentral.